CAGCUAGAUAACAUCACUUUGGUAACUUAUUUAACUAAUUUAACACUUCACAAUAAUGUUCAAUAUGUGCAGGGCAAUCUUUUCUUAUUGUCGAGCCCUUUUUAUGUAUUUGUUAAACAUAUCAGGUCAGUGCAUUUAGAAUUAGACGUACCACAGUCAAAAACACCACUUAUUUACAACUAUUGUUAAAAAAUAUCAUUGCUAUUUCAAAGAGAGUUAUAAUAGACACGGUCACAAAAUACUUAUAACAGAGCACCAGAAUUGAUUUCACUCUCAAUUGCAAUGGGUUUUUUAUCACAGGAAAAGUUGGAUGUGGAACACAGAAUGUCUCUUUAGUAGUGGUAAUUAAGUUUUUUUUUAAAGAUAUUAAAUAAAAAGCGCUGAUGCUUCAUCGUUCUCUGUCUGUUGGAGCACCAAAAGUCCAGACCCACUUACGUCAUCCAGAGGUUCCUGUUUUAUUGUGAUGGAAAUUUUGGAUGGCAGGGACUUCUCCAAGGAAUGAGAUUUGUCCUGUGCCAGUGUGCAGAUGGAUGCAUGGGAUGCCAGAAGCAUUUUCAGCUGCUCUUUCUCCUGUUGCAGGCAGCUCACCUCUGCAGCACGAUCUGCUCCAUGUGCAGGCGCUCAGUCUCCUGAAAACAAAUUCACAGCUGGAUCCCAUUAGCAUGUGCUGCUGGUAAAUACGUAACAGAUUCCCCGAAGCAGAGUGUACUGCAUUUUUAAAAAUAAAGGGUGCAAAAGGAGGUUUUCAUAGCAAUAACAUAGAAGAUCAGGUUCCUUAAAGAACUCUCAUUCUGACGGCACCCAUUCACUACAGAGGAUCCAACAGUGAGCAAGUGAUGUAAUGCUAAAUUUCCCCAAAUCUGUUCUGAUGGAGAAACAAACUCAUCUACAUCUUGGAUGACCUGAGGAAGUCUCAAGUUAAAACUGGACAAACAAGAUGUAUCAGAAAGGUGCACCACCCUGAACACAAUAUGAAAAUAAAAAUGGCAGUGCAGCCCUAUUAUUCACCUCCUGAAGAAGCUUUCUCUGUGAGCUGCUGUGGGUUCUCUGGUCUGCUCCAGACUCUCACUGGGCAUCACAGGCUCGAUUCUCCAGCGCAGCUCUUGUCUCGAUGUGACUGCAUUGACAGUGGCGAUAAAAGGGCUUUUGGAAAUCUGCAUCUCGACCUGGCUGAAAAGAGGAGAGAAACAAAAGAAAGAUGUGUCACUGCAAAAGAUUCUUGUCAGAAGUGCAGUUUAAACAGAGAACAGAGACCAUAUGGGAACAAUGGAACUUCUUGAGUCUGGUAGCCAUUCUGAACAAUUGUACAGUAAUGUUCAUAUCAAUGGAGCCUGAAAUGUGACUCUAUGUAGAAUGCAAAUGAUAGCACUUAAUGCAUUUACAUUCUUUAAGUUUUAAUGUCAAGUUGCUCUAAAACUGUUAUUCUGACACUAUAGCGGACUGCAAUUAAUGACCACUCCUCAGUGGAACCUUCAUGUAUGCAAAUGACACUUGCUUCAUGUUUUUGUCUAGUGACUCUGUAACUUGGCAUCAGAAGUGGGAUUUGAACUCAUACCUCCAUUCAGAGACCAAAAACCUCAUGUCCUGAGAAGGCUGAAAGUGCUUGAGUGUAGCACUCUGCCAUUCUGACACCUAAUGCUGCUAUAUUGUUAAUCAGUCAUAACAGUAAAGCCUGCCUUAUGGCAAUGCAAAUAUGUAAAUUGCAACUAAAUAAAUUAUUUUGAGACUUAGCAGCUUGCUUUUAAUGAUCACUUCAGUGGAGCCUUCAAUAUGACACUGUGUAGAAUGCAAAUGAAAGCACUUAAUGCAUUUACUUUUUUUUAAAUUAAGUUUUGAAUUUUUGUUUGAUUACUUGAAAACCUUUUUAUCACAAGCAGGGUUUGAACUCACGCCUCCUUUCGGAGACCAGAAUGCUCAUUACAGUACCUGAGAAGGUUGCAACACCCUGAGUCUGGUGCCUAACAUGUUGAUGAGUCCAAUCAGUAAAGCCUUCAGUAUGGAAUGGCAAUGGCACUUAAUGCCUUUACGUUCCUUGAGCUUUCAAUUCUUGUGUAGUCACUCUAAAUUGCCAGUAGUGGAAUUUAACCCCAGUUCUCCAUUCAGAAACCAGGAACCUCAUGUCCUGAAAGCCUGGAAAUCCUUGAGUCUGGCAUCUUCUACCACUUGGUCAUCCUGACACCUGAUGCAAGUUAUUUGAUGAUCUGUCCUAUCAGCGUACCCUGUGGUACUGUGUCGCAUGCAGUUUAUACAUUUGUAUACAUGUAGCCUACAUUCUUAUCUAGUCACUCUAAAAGCUAACUGUCAAGACUGGGAUUUGAACCCACAGCUCCAUCAAAGUCCAGAAACCUCAUGUCCUGAAAAUUUGGUAAAUCCUUGAGUCUGAAUCUUAGACUACUUAGACAUUCUUAAAACUGAUUCUGCUUUUUUGAUGAGCCAUCUUAUCAGUGGAGCCUGCAUUUUGGUUUGCAUUCUUUUGAGUUUUGACUUUUUGUCUAAUCGCUCUAAAAGGAUCUUCUCAGAAGUGAGAUUUGAACCUACAGUAUGCCUCCAUUCUGAGACAGGAAGCCUGCACUGGACUAAAUUCAAAGUACUUUUCAAGGCGGUUGCAAUGUCAGGAUUUAUCUCCUGUGGUAUACCUCAGAUAGUACCUUGAAAGGGACUUUGGGUAUACAGAGUGUCCUUUACAAGAGGACAAUAAGACAUACAUGUGGAAGAGGAAACAGAAUGUAUUGUGGUUUACAUCACUGCAUCAUAGCCUGGCUUUGAUUCUCUUUAUGAAGUAAAUUGCUCUUUCUUUCAGUUCCUUAAUGGAAAAUACUACUCACUUGUUUUGGGUCCGUCACAUGUACACAGGAAUUUUGGUCAGAAAAUUUAUUAUUUUGUAUUAUAUUUUUGCAUAUGUAUUAUUUUGAUACUGUCAUGAUAUAUUUUAUUCCAAUGUUUUAUUUUAUUAUUUUAACACCAUCUCACAAAAGUUGCAGUACUUUGGACUGGUUUUGUUUUUGUAGUCUCUUAUAAAGCAUAAC
Molecule: long non-coding RNA, 3026 nt
Organism: Cyprinus carpio carpio
Lineage: Eukaryota; Metazoa; Chordata; Actinopteri; Cypriniformes; Cyprinidae
Source: Ensembl